CAAUAAAUACACGAUUGAGAUGAUGUAUACAUGUAUUGACUCAGAAUUUGCGUCUGAAUAGCCAAUAACCAAUAAAUUACUGAGAAGUUUUCUAAUUAUUUACAUGAAUUAUUAGAACUGACAUUCAUUUGUUUUUUUGUUUUUUCAGUAAUUUUGCAAAACAUGGAUCAACACACAACAGAGUGUUGCAUGCAACACACAUGUAUCGUGUGAGACGCCUCUCUUUUCUCUUCCGAGAGCUGUAGAGGCAGACUUUGCAGUGGCGUCUGGUGCUGCUGCCUUGGCCAGUUGUCUGUGGCACUUCAGUGGGGAAAUGCCUUGCUGUUAACCGCAGAGGAGUGUCCAAAGCAGGACGGCCCCCUUUGGGUGGACACCGGGUUGUGCCAUACUCCUCCAGUAGCCCUCUCAUCAGGCUUGUCCUGAACUCCAGGGAAGUGAUGACCUGUCCCUGUGGCUGACAUCAUGGAGGACUAUACUGUGUACCACAGGCCCCUGUGCCGUGAGAGAGGAGGUGCUGGAACAGCGAUGGACUGCUGUACCAGUUGUCCUCAUAGAUGGUAUUGCCCUUUCCAAGAUACGGAUCAAGCAAGGUUGUUACAACUGAACCAGAAAUGCCUAACCCCUCAAUGUGGCGGAUGUCGGUAGUGGAUCCGGUAUAAAUGACCAUGUAUUGCACAUAGCCUGUCAGCACGUUGCACAAAACGAAAAACUUCACCCCAAAUCUAUUUCUUUUCGCAGGGAUGAACUGACGGAAGGCCAGCCUGCCUUUCCAUUUCAUCAGUGAUUCAUCCACACAAAGUUCUUGUUAUGGGACAAAAACACGACAAAAAGUGGAUGUAACAGCAGUAAAUAUGCUCUUUAUUUUGCGCAGUGGAUUAUAGUGACUAGCUGUCGCACUGUUGGUGAAGUGCAGGCAACGGAGGAGGAGGAAGCGGUCCUGCGAAAACAGUGACCCAUAAAAAUGGUGUCUGCAGCAACGGGGCGGUACUCCAGUAAUCCAGAAGAGAUGGUUUUCUGAUAACUCCCAUCAGAAGAACUGCCACCAGAAAAGAGUACAUUUCUUUGAUAGUAGUUGCCACCCACCUUGCCCUCUUUCCCUGCACUCCUGGUGCCGUCUUAUGCUGGAGUUCUGCAGCAUACCGUUUUGGCAGAGAGAUCAACAUCGUCACCCUUUUCAAGGGCCAGGAGGAUGUGUGGGGUAGUUCAUGGCGCAGGUGCAGCCAUGUUUGUUUAUAUUGCCAUGUAGUGCGGGUGUUGCGCUCCAAGCGGAAUAACUUUUGUAAUGGUGGCAGUAUCAACAAGAUCAUAAGCAGGAAGGUAAGUUUUCACAUGCUUACAGUAAAAUGCAGUGUGGGUGUCACAUAAGGUCAGAGGAACUAUGCCUAUAAUAAAUUAGUCAUCACGGCUGCAUAAAAUCAUGUCAAAAAUCGUUGAUUGCAACAAAUACAGAUGAAUGAAUGCAUCAUUAUGUGGUUGAAAACACUGCAUAUUUGUGAUAUAAACAGCGCUGCGUGCGUCUGUCUCUGGGAAACAAGCACAUUUGAAUUUGGCAGUUGAUCAUGCGCUGAAUGUUCUAAUCACACCGGUGUGAUCGUACGUGUCAAAAGAUCUUAGAUUUUUUUUACAAUUUUUUUUUUUUUUUUAAGCUGCAGAUUCAGUAUAUGUAGACCUCAAUCUGUUUAAAUAUCACAAAAUAGCCAUGUCAGUCACCUUGUGUUUCACUGAAAACAGGCAAAACUGAAUGGAGACCAGUUACAUUUCUCAAAUUUAAUACAGAUUCAGGAAUAUGAAUGAUUACCUGAUUAAAGAGUAAUGAGGGAGCAGGAGAUAAGGCACAGGAUAGCAUCAAGUCCCAGUUUAGAUGAUAAUCCUAUCGACUACAACUCAAUGUAUAAUCAAUGUCACAUUUAUGUCACAAGUGGGUGCUUCUUUUCUUUUUUAUACUCCAUCCUCAUCUAUUAAAGGAAAGAAGGUGCUCUGCAAGCAUUAAUAGAUGCAAUACAUGGGCUAAAAGUAAAGUAUUAUAUUCUUGCUCAUGUUAAUGUCACUUGCACUUCAAGAAAUGUUGUUGGAACUUUAAUCAUAAAACUCCUAACAAAUAUUACUAAAGCAAGAUGCAUGCUCUUUCAAAUGCAAGUAACAAGCACAAAAAUAAACAAACAAACAAAAGAACAUAGAAAUAAUAAGGAAAGAUGCACCAUUGUUUGAAACCCAGAGAAGUCACGUUCUUGGUAUGUCACUAACUCUGUUAGCUGGAAUUGAUUGAUGAUGAUUUGGCAUGCAUGAUCUUGGAUUGUUUGGUUCUUCAACACUCAUCCAGGGGCCUGUACCGUGAUGGUAGUUGAACAAACUCAGGGUCAGUUUUGAGUUGACAAACCAAACCACUCCAAUCUGGCUUUGUUAGUACCAUGAUGCUGAUCAUCAACUUUCUCUGUCAACUCAGGCUUUGAUCCCGAGUUUGUGGAGCAUGUCACAUGAAUGCAUGA
Megalobrama amblycephala (Wuchang bream) is the source of this 2486-nucleotide long non-coding RNA. RefSeq lists it as uncharacterized. The record is from RefSeq and is a predicted model, not a curated record. The transcript is spliced from 3 exons. Lineage: Eukaryota; Metazoa; Chordata; Actinopteri; Cypriniformes; Xenocyprididae.